Anastrepha ludens (Mexican fruit fly) is the source of this 2202-nucleotide long non-coding RNA. RefSeq lists it as uncharacterized. Lineage: Eukaryota; Metazoa; Arthropoda; Insecta; Diptera; Tephritidae. The transcript is spliced from 5 exons. The record is from RefSeq and is a predicted model, not a curated record.
AAAAAUAUAUUGUUUAUGCCAAAGCGCUUGAAUAAAGAAAUAAAUAAUAUGAAAACCAUAUCUUUUCUGUUCUAAACCAUAUCUAUUCUAUUUUAGUGUGCCCAGCGAAGCGGGCCGGGUUUGCUAGUACAGUCCAAUCGUGAUAGUCCGACACAUACGGGACCGACUCGUUGUCGGAUUAUCAAAUAUUCCGGACUACCGAAGGUUCCAUUUAAUGACAUGAAAAGACAGAAAAAUAUCACAUCAACACCGUCAGAAAUCGCGAGAGAACUGGCGUCGUUCAAAUUUAAUGACAAAUACGUUGUGACCGGGAAACAAAACACAAUCCCCCUCUGCUGCUCUGCUACGACUGAUCAAAAUAAAAUAAUGCCAAUUGCAUCCAUAGACGUUAUGAGGUUGUCGGAUUACCGAACGUGUCGGAUUAAGAAAUGUCGGACUAUCACGAUUGUACUGUAUUGUAUAAAAGAAAGUCAUGUUAGUUACACUAUUUAUAACUCGAGAACGGCUGAACCGAUUUGGCUGAAAAUUGGUGAAGAGGUAUCUUAGAACCAGGAGAUGGACAUAGGAUACUUUUUACCCCAUUCGAACGCGUUUAUGUGAAGUCACUAUAUAUAUAACAAAAACGCAUCUGAUAUGGAAUAACAAAACGCAAAUGACAGCUAAACGUAAUUCUGUCUAUGGUUAAGUAGAAAAUUUGAUAAUAUAAAUUUUGUCAGAAAUAUAUAAUCACAGUAAUUUGUAUUCUCUUUGAAUUAUCAUUAUCAAUGCCGCGACCAAGACGAUCGAAUCUUUCCCGACAAAGCCGUACUGCAAGCAGGGGUCGAAUCGUGAUAGUCGUUAACGAAACGACAAUCGUUCGAACACAAAUUACGUGAGUCGAUAAUCGAAUGAACGAGUUGGGAUCAUAACAGUCGAAAGAAGACGUAUCGUAAUUGUAAUUUUUGUUUAUCGAUUAUUUUUCUCAUCUUCUUCGUUUUUUUAAGUCACAAUAGAAUUUGAAGUGUCAAAAUAAACCGCAGAAAGUAACGAAAAUAUAAAAAGUUUAAAUGGAUCCGAGUAUUUUCUUUUAUUUAAGUUCCAGCGAUGAAGAAAAUAAUGAAAGAGUUGUGCGAAAACAACUUCGAGACAAAAGCGAUCCGCUAGCAUUAUCAAACAAUGCUUCCUCAGGUUUAUCAAAAGGUUUCGCUUAAGCAAAGAAGCAUUUAAUUAUGUUUUAAAUAACACAAAUAUAAAUUGCCAAUACACAAAAGCUGUUCCGGCGGUGCUCCAACUGGCUGCGUGUCUCAGCCUACUCGCAAGUGGUGGCUAUCAGCAUGCAAUAGGCAAUGACUAUUUUAUAGGAAUGUGCCAGAGCACUGUCUAGAAAUUAACGGGCAAUGUUUUGAAAGAAAUUGAAGCCAAAUUGUGUCCUAAACAUAUUAAAUUUGAGCCAGAUGAUUCGAGAAGGUGCAAAGAGUUGUUUGUUGAGAACUAUCAAAUUCCAGGAGUGGUUGGAUGCAUUGAUGGCACCCACAUUGGACUACAAAAGCCCACGGUCAACGAGCACAUGUAUUUCAACAGGAAGGGUUUUCAUAGCAUAAAUGCGAUGUUGAUUUGCGACCACACUACGAAAAUUCUCGCAAUAAACUGCCAAUAUGGGGGUGCAGCCCCCGACUCAUUCAUAUGGAAGCAUUCAAACGAACGAAUGGUUAUGGAACAUCGUUUUUUGCACAAUAGGAGUGACAAUGCCUGGCUGCUAGGGGACUCUGGAUAUCCACUUGAGCCGUGGUGCAUAACACCGUACAGAAAUCCAUCGGACGGAUCAGGUGAAGCAAGGUUCAAUGAAAUUCAUUCCAAGGCACGGUGCAUCAUUGAUUGAACUAAUGGUGUACUGAAACGUCGGUGGAGAAUCCUAGAAUACAACAAAAGUGGAAGAUAUUAUCCUAUAAAAGUGGCUAGGUUUGCGAAUGUGUGUGCAGCGCUUCACAACAUUUGUAUACAAUUUAAUGUGAGCUUUACAGCAACAAAUUCAGAGAGUCAAACCGCAUCUGACAUAGUGUCUGGAGAAGGCCAGUAUACUAAAUAGAAUCGGCCAAACAAUCAGAGAUCAAAUUAAAAUCUCGUUGAGGAACUCGACAUAACCAUCUUGUUUUCAUAUUGUACUAUUAUGCUUUUGAAGUAUAAUGCUAACCGACCUAAAUAAAAUAAAAUAACUCGAAACAC